Tumebacillus flagellatus is the source of this 394-nucleotide non-coding RNA. It matches the Rfam family "Bacterial RNase P class B". Rfam says of the family: Ribonuclease P (RNase P) is a ubiquitous endoribonuclease, found in archaea, bacteria and eukarya as well as chloroplasts and mitochondria. Its best characterised activity is the generation of mature 5'-ends of tRNAs by cleaving the 5'-leader elements of precursor-tRNAs. NCBI's taxonomy places the organism in Bacteria, Bacillati, Bacillota, Bacilli, Caryophanales, Alicyclobacillaceae. The record is from Rfam.
ACAUGUGCGGCGAUCGCGCGUCCGCUUGACGGACGUGAGGAAAGUCCACGCUCGCCUGAGCUGAGAUGCUCAGAGUUCGGAUGCCUGGCCAAUCAAUAAGCCAGGGCACCCCGCGAGGGGUGACGGCGGGGAACGCAUGCUACGUCCUUCGGGAUAUGCUGCUACUACCCUGAAAGUGCCACAGUGACGAAUCUCCUUGGAAACGAGGAGGGUGGAACGAGGUAAACCCCAUCUGCGAGAAACCCAAAUUAUGGUCGGGGAACUGCUCCUAGGGAAUGUAGUACUGGAACCGAAGAGUGGAUCGACACAUGUCGAUAGAUAGAUGGUUGCCACCCGUAGUGCGAGGUCUAAUCAGCCGCCUGAAGCACAGGGGAACAAAACGUGGCUUACAACA